Non-coding RNA from Triticum aestivum (bread wheat), 135 nucleotides. NCBI's taxonomy places the organism in Eukaryota, Viridiplantae, Streptophyta, Magnoliopsida, Poales, Poaceae. The record is from Rfam.
AACAUACUCCCUCCAUCCUAAAAUUCUCAUCUUAGAUUUGUCUAAACACGAAUAUAUCAAGUCAUGUUUUAGUAUUAGAUACAUCUAUAUCUAAGCAAAUCUAAGACAAGAAUUUUGAAACGGAGGGAGUACAUU